GGCGAACGCUGGCGGCGUGCCUAAUACAUGCAAGUUGAGCGCUGAAGGUUGGUACUUGUACCAACUGGAUGAGCAGCGCACGGGUGAGUAACGCGUGGGGAAUCUGCCUUUGAGCGGGGGACAACAUUUGGAAACGAAUGCUAAUACCGCAUAAAAACUUUAAACACAAGUUUUAAGUUUGAAAGAUGCAAUUGCAUCACUCAAAGAUGAUCCCGCGUUGUAUUAGCUAGUUGGUGAGGUAAAGGCUCACCAAGGCGAUGAUACAUAGCCGACCUGAGAGGGUGAUCGGCCACAUUGGGACUGAGACACGGCCCAAACUCCUACGGGAGGCAGCAGUAGGGAAUCUUCGGCAAUGGACGAAAGUCUGACCGAGCAACGCCGCGUGAGUGAAGAAGGUUUUCGGAUCGUAAAACUCUGUUGGUAGAGAAGAACGUUGGUGAGAGUGGAAAGCUCAUCAAGUGACGGUAACUACCCAGAAAGGGACGGCUAACUACGUG
Molecule: ribosomal RNA, 497 nt
Filed under: uncultured bacterium
Lineage: Bacteria
Description: partial 16S ribosomal RNA
Rfam family: Bacterial small subunit ribosomal RNA
Source: RNAcentral